UCCAAACCGCAUUCCAACGGACAGCAGUGAAAAAUUACCCCACACAUACGCACCUCAGGCGUUCCAGCGAAGCAGAAUGAGAAAACGGUGGGGAAAAGGAAAGAUUAGAGCCUCCUCCGAGCAGCCGAGCGGCACCGUCGCGGAGGAGAGGCUGCGCCGCGCAGCCGUGAGGACCGGAGGAGACUACACCACCGGUCCGGGAACCUGUUGCCGUGAACCGCCACGGCGGCAUGGAAGGAGCACCGCUGCGGAUUGGGGAGGAGCGCCGUCGCGGGCCUAGGGAGAGCGCUGCCCGGACCAAGCUCCCUGCUUGACCGAUCAAGGACUCUCGAUUCCGGCCGCCUGCAGCACAUCAGGCCAUCAGCUAACAGAAUGGCAGCACCGGGCAAAGCUAGCGGUAUGCAACAACAGGGAGGCUCUUGAUUUGCUUAUAUCUGGUUCUGCUAUUAAGUUACUGAAGCAAGGCAAGAAGUGCUUUGGCGUGAGUUCUUCCAACGUUGACUGGAGCAAUUGGGCGUGGCUUUGUCGGGCGCCGGGCAUGCUUUGGCAUGACUUCAUUGGACGUCGAGUGAAGCGGCUGGGCAUGGAUUGUCGUGGUAGCUCUGUCGACUUCAAUAUGUUCAAGUCGUGGUGGUUGUCGACUUCAAAUUGAUUGGUGUGUUAUUGUGCGACUGCUUGUACUUGCUUAUAUGGGUUGAGGUCGCUGGAUUUGAGGUGGCCGAGAUGUCUGGAAAUAUGAUCAUGACCUUGUCCUAUUUUAAUUUUUCGGAAUUUUCAUCACGUGGGAUAUGAUAGUUAUCCCUAUUUGUUUAGGUUUGCAUUUCAUUCGUUCUUGUUUUGGAUUUUUCAUUACGGGAGAUACGUAUCCAACAUGGAUCCUUUCCAAACACUUCCAAGUUUUAUCUCAACAUUAAUUGCUUUUUUAAUUGCUUAUAGCACGUAGUACAUGGCAGUGCUUUUUUCCUCCCUUCUUUCCUUUCCUAUUAUGGUAGUGCUUUUUUUUCUCUCCCUUCUUUUCCUUCCUAUUAGGACAUGUAACGCUUACAUCUCGUGUAUGUGCUGGACUAUGAGACGUCCACAUGUAUGUCCGCGUGUAUGUGCUGGACUUUGAGACAUGCACAUGUAUGUGCUGGACUUAGUCGUAGUUUAUAUACUUCCAACUUUUUAUUCCUACACCUUGUACG
Long non-coding RNA from Triticum aestivum (bread wheat), 1184 nucleotides. RefSeq lists it as uncharacterized. The record is from RefSeq and is a predicted model, not a curated record. NCBI's taxonomy places the organism in Eukaryota, Viridiplantae, Streptophyta, Magnoliopsida, Poales, Poaceae. The transcript has 3 exons.